CUUGAUGAACACCUUGCAGGGAGAUGGAGCCAAGCUGUUAUCUUUUCUCUUGCACGCUGGUUCAGAUUAAUAUUUCAUAUGUAUGGCUGCCCAUCAAUACCCUGUGACCUUGAAUUGCAGAUGAGUUGUUAGGGAGGGCCUACGCAAGUUCUCAUUACUCCAGUUCACCUACUCCAUACUCACUCAUAAUUACGCAAUUUUGUGUGCAGGUUGUACACCUGAAGCUGUCCAUUCCAAUCACACAGAGAGAAUUAAAGAAUCAAGGGGCAUGGUUCAUAAUUCAUCAUGACUCCUGUAAUGAGAGAGAGAGAGAGAGAGAGAGAGCACAUACAUCACUAAAAUUCCACCUGUCUCCGUAGUCUUCCUCCAUACCCUCACACACCGGGUUCUACAUAGAUUUAAUCUGAAUCUGAAUUGGGUGACUUGGACACUUUCUAGGAGUUUAACUUCCCAUCCUCAUGCCCACUGGCAUGAAGCAUGCCUUCCUUCCUCAUGCCCAGUGUUCCUACUAUGGCGCUCCUGGAACAAUCUUGGCAGCUGCCACACAGAGAACACAGCAGAUCCAGGACUCACACCAAACCGGGCCCUCCAACUCCUACAGCUCUGGACCCUGACUGGGAUAAAGCGUUUACUGAGAAUGAAUGAAUGGAUGAAUUCAUUAAUUGCACUGAACCAAGAUUUAAGACUGAAAAUAAAACUGACUUACAUUUUAACAUGAUGUUAACGUCUAACGUUUGCAAUAUGUAAAAAAUGCGUUGUGUGAAGUAUGUACUGAAUGUGUAGAUUAAAGUAUCACAAUAUGCAACAUACUGAACAGUACAUACAGGAUAUCACAUGUGCAGACCUCAGCAUAAUUAGAGUGUAAGAGUAUUUGCACUGGACUUACAGGUGCCAUGCAUGUGUAGUGCUGUAUUUCAGCAGGUGCAGUGUUAGUGCUAGAAGCAUUGUGCAGAGUGUUAUUGCACAGUGUUACAGCUUGGGGUAGAUGCCUGUCUCUGUCUCACCCCUGAAUAAAGGAAAAUGUAGUUAGCAGGAUGUGAAGGAUUUACAAGCUUGACAAUAUUUGCCUUGCAGGCCCAUAAGGAAAGGGCAGGUCACAGUCAGUGAUCCUAUCCACUGACCAGAUUAUUCACAGUUCUUUUACCUUCUCUGACAAUGCACUGCACCGCACACACUCAGUUUUAAAAGGAAAUUAGAGGAAGUGAUUUCACCCAAUCACAUGUCUUGAUAAUGUAUUUAUUCAAACUCCUUUCUUUUUUAUACAAUGU
Long non-coding RNA from Pangasianodon hypophthalmus (striped catfish), 1268 nucleotides. RefSeq lists it as uncharacterized. Lineage: Eukaryota; Metazoa; Chordata; Actinopteri; Siluriformes; Pangasiidae. The record is from RefSeq and is a predicted model, not a curated record. The transcript has 4 exons.